CCGUUCUCGAUUCUUUUUUCUCCGCGACAGGAAGAAUUGUUCUUGAUUUUUUUCCUCUCAAGAUUCCGUCAAUCUAAAGGGAUGUUAAGUGGCGUUAAAGUAGUAAUUGGGUCACGAGGGCCUUGGGAACGGAACCGUUCUUGAUUCCCCGAUUCCUUUAUCUAAUGCCAGAACUUUCGACAUUAGCUUUUAUUUUGAGAAGAAAUUGGAUUUUUAGCCUUAAUGACUUCUGUUCUUGAAUUCUGAUCAUGUUCAGAAUAUUCUGUUCGGAAAAUGACAUCUUUUUGUAAUAUUCUGCUAAUCAUCGCAUUAUUUUUUUCAUUUUUUUAAUAUAUCUUGAAUCGCAAGCUCCGUCCAUGCGUCUGAAACUUGUCUCCGCUGCUUGGAAUUAAUAUGUUUUCCGAGUUAGGGAGUACAAUUCAUACCCCAUGUUUCAAUCAGAAGAGCAACAGUAAUUUGAAUUAAAUUCUACUCAUGCGCUCUCGAUCCUUAUCUUUUUCUUUUAUUCUCUCUCUUAAUUUUUAAUGUGGCAUUUAUUUACUUGUGUGUUUUGUCAGAAUGAGGCUGGAAUUAUGUACAAUCUAUGCUCUACAUAACCCCAUUUACUGUAAGGUGGAUCAAGGAAUAUGUUCAUGCCGGUGGUCUGACGGAAGUAAUAGGUUGUGGAUAUUAAAUUUAGUAAUACAUAACACAUGGAUAUCAAAAGUCAUUAACGAGACAUAGUAAAGAAGUAGAAUUGUGGAUUUCGUGACAAAGAUAGUUCUUACUUGUCUUUGAAUAAUCUGCCCGUGAUCCAUGUUCUGUUUGUGGGAAAUUGCAUAUUUUUAAUAUGAUUCCAAGCUCUCUGCUUUUUCUUUUUUCCAGAAAGUAAUUUUCUUUAUUUUUUUUCCUAUAUGGAGCAAUUUUUAGUGUGAUAGUCCUGCUAAAUUAAUGCAAGUGGUUUUGAUGGAAAUUUAUUUAAAAAUGAUUCGGUAUAUGUGAUUCACUAGAUUUAUAUAUAGUCUUCAAAGUUUUUCUUUUUGUCUUUUUUUUUUCCCUUGGUGCAAUGUUACUUCUCUAUCAACUUUUCUUGUCCCUGUCUUUUGCCUUUGCUUUCUUUUCCCCCACUUUGCAUCUUUUGUCUGGUAUAAAGAGAAGCAAUUCGGAUCAGAAUUUUUGUUUUACCAUAGUUUUGAAUUUUCUCAGGGUCUAACUUAGUUAACUAAUUCAGCUCUAUCUACUUUUGGCCUUUUACCCAAAGGAAAAAAAACAAGGUGAAUUGCAACUCAGUAAACAAUAUCAUUUAUUUAUGAUAACCAAAUGAAUAAUGUGGACAGACUGAAACAACUUAACUGAGACAUUAACAACUAGCAUCCUUUGACCCACAAGCUCCCAGCUUAGUAACUUUUCUGUUGCCGGUCCACAUCAUACAGAACAAAUUGGUUAGUAAAAGGUUACAUCUGAGAGUAAUUAGUGGUUUUCUACCAAGUUUCUUAUCCAAAUAAUUGGAAAGAAAAGAAAAGUUUGCUGAAAAGGCAUUCUGUUGUGAGCAUUGUGGUUCUCUCUUGGCUAAUGCUAGUAAUGGUGAUCCUCUCUUGAUAUACUGGCUUGGGUAACCAAGUAUUGGUUGCAACAUGCCCCAUCGCCUGACAUAUGAGCUCAUGUUAAAUACUCAAUGAUGUAAUUAUACAACUGCUUUUGCCUUCACCUUAAUGCUUGUAUGUCACAGGGAGAGUUGCUUGCCAUGUCCUCUGGUUAGUCUCAUUUCUCCAAUUAUCUAUAUCAGAUCUUAUGGUUGAACUUAGUUAAAUGGAAGGAUAAAUGAGUAAGGCAUCAAUUAGACAAUCAUAUGCAUGAUCCAUUUAUUUGUUUCAUUUUCAUCUAAUUGAAAUAAGUGAUUGC
Molecule: long non-coding RNA, 1881 nt
Filed under: Elaeis guineensis (African oil palm)
Lineage: Eukaryota; Viridiplantae; Streptophyta; Magnoliopsida; Arecales; Arecaceae
Description: long non-coding RNA (EGUI_LNC000462)
Source: RNAcentral